RNAcentral lists this ribosomal RNA (497 nucleotides) under uncultured bacterium. RNAcentral's name for it is "partial 16S ribosomal RNA". It matches the Rfam family "Bacterial small subunit ribosomal RNA", at positions 28 to 507 of the family's 1533-position model. The record is from RNAcentral.
GAUGAACGCUGGCGGCGUGCCUAAUACAUGCAAGUCGAGCGAACAGACGAGGAGCUUGCUCCUCUGACGUUAGCGGCGGACGGGUGAGUAACACGUGGAUAACCUACCUAUAAGACUGGGAUAACUUUGGGAAACCGGAGCUAAUAACGGAUAAUAUAUUGAACCGCAUGGUUCAAUAGUGAAAGACGGUUUUGCUGACACUUUUAGAUGGAUCCGCGCCGCAUUAGCUAGUUGGUAAGGUAACGGCUUACCAAGGCGACGAUGCGUAGCCGACCUGAGAGGGUGAUCGGCCACACUGGAAUUGAGACACGGUCCAGACUCCUACGGGAGGCAGCAGUAGGGAAUCUUCCGCAAUGGGCGAAAGCCUGACGGAGCAACGCCGCGUGAGUGAUGAAGGUCUUCGGAUCGUAAAACUCUGUUAUUAGGGAAGAACAAAUGUGUAAGUAACUAUGCACGUCUUGACGGUACCUAAUCAGAAAGCCACGGCUAACUACGUG